Molecule: ribosomal RNA, 480 nt
Filed under: uncultured bacterium
Lineage: Bacteria
Description: partial 16S ribosomal RNA
Rfam family: Bacterial small subunit ribosomal RNA
Source: RNAcentral
GACGAACGCUGGCGGCGUGCUUAACACAUGCAAGUCGAACGAUGAAGAAAAGAAUUGAAGCUUCGGCAGAAAUUCAUUUCGGAUUAGUGGCAGACGGGUGAGUAACGCGUGAGCAACCUACCUCUUACAAAGGGAUAGCCUCGGGAAACCGGGAUUAAUACCAUAUAACAUUGCGACGAAGCAUUUCGAUGCAAUCAAAGCUACGGCGGUAAGAGAUGGGCUCGCGUCCCAUUAACCAGAUGGUGAGGUAACGGCUCACCAUAGUAACGAUGGGUAACCGGCCUGAGAGGGUGAACGGUCACACUGGAACUGAGACACGAUCCAGACUCCUACGGGAAGCAGCAGUGGGGAAUAUUGCACAAUGGAGGGAACUCUGAUGCAGCGACGCCGCGUGAGUGAUGAAGGAAUUCGUUUCGUAAAACUCUGUUCUAUGGGAAGAAAAGGACUGUACCAUAGGAGAAAGCUCCGGCUAAAUACGUG